UCUCUGCCAGGGCACUAAUUAGAGGGAGGUCUUAGUGUGGUAAUAAGGCAAAGACCUUCCCACACUUUUGGUCUCAUCUGCGUAGGCACUACCUUCCUGGUCAGGCCGCUUCCUUGGCCUGUUGGGUUCUGGGUGGUUCUGCAGUUUUGCAUACGUGGCAUCUGCCUUAAUUUCUAUUACACAAGCACAGUGGUGGGUAUAGUCUAAUGGACUGUGGUGCAGAAAAAAAGAAGGUAGGUUAGUCUGUGUGGAAGAGUGGAUCUCUUCCUGCUGACUGCCUUAUGGCCUCUGGAAAUGUUCUCACUGCCUCUGCUGAAAAGGCUUCACCUCUGUCCUUACUUCUUUGCAUCACUUCGGAUGAGCCAAACUUGCAUUUUGGAUCCUUGACCUGGCUACAAGCACGCCAGGCCUCCCUGUCCAUCACCAACUCCUGGAGUUCAUUCAAACUCAUAUCCAUCGAGUCAGUGAUGUCAUCCAGCCAUCUCAUCCUCUGUCAUCCCCUUCUCCUCCUGCCCCCAAUCCCUCUCAGCAUCAGAGUCUUUUCCAAUGAGUCAACUCUUCUCAUGAGGUGGCCAAAGUACUGGAGAUUCCACUUUAGCAUCAUUCCUUCCAAAGAACACCCAGGGCUGAUCUCCUUUAGAAUGGACUGGUUGCAUCUCCUUAUAGUCCAAGUAAGACCUUUUAGAACUAACACCCCAAAAAGAUGUCCUUUUCAUUAUAGGGGACUGGAAUGCAAAAGUAGGAAGUCAGGAAACACCUGGAAUAACAGGCAAAUUUGGCCUUGGAAUACGGAAUGAAGCAGGGCAAAAGCUAACAGAGUUUUCCCCAGUGAACGCACUGGUCAUAGCAAACACCCUCUUCCAACAACACAAGAAAAGACUCUACACAUGAACAUCACCAGAUGGUCAACACCAAAAUCAGAUUGAUUAUAUUCUUUGCAGCCAAAGAUGGAGAAGCUCUAUACAGUCAGCAAAAACAAGACCGGGAGCUGACUGUGGCUCAGAUCAUAAACUCCUUAUUGCCAAAUUCAGACUUAAAUUGAAGGAAGUAGGGAAAACCAUUAGACCAUUAUAAACCAUUAUAAUUAUACAGUGGAAGUGAGAAAUAGAUUUAAGGGCCUAGAUCUGAUAGAUAGAGUGCCUCAUGAACUAUGGAGUGAGGUUUGUGACAUUCAUUGUACAGGAGACAGAGAUCAAUAUCAUCCCCAUGGAAAAGAAAUGCCAAAAAGCAAAAUGGCUGUCUGAGGAGGCCUUACAAAUAGCUGUGAAAAGAAGAGAAGCGAAAAGCAAAGGAGAAAAGGAAAGAUAUA
Long non-coding RNA from Bos taurus (domestic cattle), 1309 nucleotides. The record is from Ensembl. Lineage: Eukaryota; Metazoa; Chordata; Mammalia; Artiodactyla; Bovidae.